RNAcentral lists this ribosomal RNA (492 nucleotides) under uncultured bacterium. Its description in RNAcentral is "partial 16S ribosomal RNA". It matches the Rfam family "Bacterial small subunit ribosomal RNA", at positions 30 to 507 of the family's 1533-position model. The record is from RNAcentral.
AUUGAACGCUGGCGGCAUGCUUUACACAUGCAAGUCGAACGGUAACAGGCCUUCGGGUGCUGACGAGUGGCGAACGGGUGAGUAAUGCAUCGGAACGUGCCCAGAGGUGGGGGAUAACGCAGCGAAAGCUGUGCUAAUACCGCAUGUGAUCUGAGGAUGAAAGCAGGGGACCAGGCAGCAAUGUUUGGCCUCGCGCCUUUGGAGCGGCCGAUGUCAGAUUAGGUAGUUGGUGGGGUAAAGGCCUACCAAGCCGACGAUCUGUAGCUGGUCUGAGAGGACGACCAGCCACACUGGGACUGAGACACGGCCCAGACUCCUACGGGAGGCAGCAGUGGGGAAUUUUGGACAAUGGGCGCAAGCCUGAUCCAGCAAUGCCGCGUGCGGGAAGAAGGCCUUCGGGUUGUAAACCGCUUUUGUACGGAACGAAAAGGCUCUGGCUAAUACCUGGGGCUGAUGACGGUACCGUAAGAAUAAGCACCGGCUAACUACGUG